CCAGGCCGAACACCGCAGUGGGGGUAAGAUGCGUAGAGGUGGGGGAAGAAGUGUACAAAGAAAGGGCCUGGAUGGGUGGGGGUCCCAAAAGGACCUAAGCAGCAGGAGACCCCCAGGAGUGGGCUUUAGGCCCAGCAGCUCCCCCUUCUCAAGGUGAGUCCAGAGGCCAUUCUGGAGUGGGCCUGGGUACCAGGCCCUGGGUACUCCUUUUGGUACCAGGCUGGCCUCCUGAUUCCUGAGGCGUUGGCUCGGCACCCCAUGGGGGACUGCCCUCCUCCAGGCCUGGCACAAAGCCAGGGGGCUAAGAGCAGUCUGCAGGACAGAGGGCAGGACCACAGCAGGGAGGGGGCUCCGAUGCCAGCUCCCCCUCAUGCCAUAUGAGGCCAGGCCUGUGGCUCGAAGCCCCUGAGCUGGGCAUGUCCUGAGAGUCUGGGACCAUCCAGGGGCUGCAUCUUCAUCCUCAGCCCUGCGUAGCCUUCUGCCCUCCUCCCAGGGCCCGUCCAUUCCUUCAGCUCCAGCGCCUCCUCCACACGUCCAUGCCUUCCACCUUGCCACAUGGAGCACAGCCGUGCCCCCACAAGCCAGAGGGAACAACGAAACUGGCAAGAAAGAACAGCAGUUAGAGCAGGGGCAACACUGGAGAAAGGAGUAUCUAUUAUGAGCUUGGGCAUUUUACACCAGCACUUCCCAGCCUUUUCCAUAAACAUGGAAAACAUUUUUUGCAUACGUACUGUGGUAAAGGAAUCUGCUUCCUCCCAGGCCCCGGAUCAAUCCUCAGCACAGGGGGUCUGCCUUACAAAAGACGUGGGAUCCUCUAGAGUCGACCAGCAGGCAAGGGCAUUAACAGGACCAUCAAAGUGGGGUAUGGCACUAGAUGGGGCCCCAGGCUCACUAGGACUCUCUACUGUUGAAGACAUCUGCAGGCGGGUAAGGUCGCCUAGGAGGUGGUAGUGGGGAGAGGAGGAUCUAGGUUUCCACUGGAAAAAUUAAGGCUAGAAGGAAGGCUAAAUCCUUUCUCAGCCCUACUCCUACUUCUCACAAGAAGGGAGUGGCAUCUGGGGAAGAGGGCACAGGGCUGAGAGCCAGGGCUUCUAGAUUCUAUUCCUGGCCCCUCCCCUGGGCCUUCCUGACCACAAAUCCGCC
This 1143-nucleotide long non-coding RNA is filed under the name Pan troglodytes (chimpanzee). RNAcentral's name for it is "long non-coding RNA NONPTRT000610". Lineage: Eukaryota; Metazoa; Chordata; Mammalia; Primates; Hominidae. The record is from RNAcentral.